ACUGGAGGAAGGUGGGGAUGACGUCAAAUCAUCAUGCCCCUUAUGACCUGGGCUACACACGUGCUACAAUGGAUGGUACAAAGGGCUGCAAGACCGCGAGGUCAAGCCAAUCCCAUAAAACCAUUCUCAGUUCGGAUUGUAGGCUGCAACUCGCCUACAUGAAGCUGGAAUCGCUAGUAAUCGCGGAUCAGCAUGCCGCGGUGAAUACGUUCCCGGGCCUUGUACACACCGCCCGUCACACCACGAGAGUUUGUAACACCCGAAGUCGGUGGAGUAACCGUAAGGAGCUAG
RNAcentral lists this ribosomal RNA (291 nucleotides) under Priestia megaterium. RNAcentral's name for it is "Bacillus megaterium partial 16S ribosomal RNA". It matches the Rfam family "Bacterial small subunit ribosomal RNA", at positions 1162 to 1452 of the family's 1533-position model. Lineage: Bacteria; Bacillati; Bacillota; Bacilli; Caryophanales; Bacillaceae. The record is from RNAcentral.